GACGAACGCUGGCGGCGUGCUUAACACAUGCAAGUCGAGCGGUAAGGCUCCUUCGGGAGUACACGAGCGGCGAACGGGUGAGUAACACGUGAGUAACCUGCCCCUUUCAUCGGAAUAACCAGUGGAAACGCUGGCUAAUGCCGAAUACGACCACCGAAGGCAUCUUCUGGUGGUGGAAAGCUCCGGCGGAAAGGGAUGGACUCGCGGCCUAUCAGCUUGUUGGUGAGGUAAUGGCUCACCAAGGCAACGACGGGUAGCCGGCCUGAGAGGGUGACCGGCCACACUGGGACUGAGACACGGCCCAGACUCCUACGGGAGGCAGCAGUGGGGAAUAUUGGACAAUGGGCGAAAGCCUGAUCCAGCAACGCCGCGUGAGGGAUGACGGCCUCGGUUGUAACCGUACUUUCUACGUAGGUACGGAAGACGAAAGUAGACGGUACCGUAC
This 445-nucleotide ribosomal RNA is filed under the name uncultured bacterium. RNAcentral describes it as "bacterial SSU rRNA". It matches the Rfam family "Bacterial small subunit ribosomal RNA", at positions 28 to 483 of the family's 1533-position model. The record is from RNAcentral.